RNAcentral lists this ribosomal RNA (482 nucleotides) under uncultured bacterium. RNAcentral's name for it is "partial 16S ribosomal RNA". It matches the Rfam family "Bacterial small subunit ribosomal RNA", at positions 28 to 507 of the family's 1533-position model. The record is from RNAcentral.
GACGAACGCUGGCGGCGUGCUUAACACAUGCAAGUCGAACGGUGAAGCAGGGCGUCUCGGCGUUCGAUGCGAGUUUAACGUGUGAUUAGUGGCAGACGGGUGAGUAACGCCUCAGCAAACUACCUCUUAAAACGGGAUAGCCUCGGGAACAGGAGAUUCUUACUAUUUGACACAUUCCUAAGGUCUCUUCAGAUUGUUAAAGGUACGGCGGUACAGGAUGGGUACGCGUCCUAUCAGCUAGGUGGUGAGGUAACGGCCCACCAAGGCGACGACGAGUACCUGGGCUGAGAGGGUGAACAGUCACAAUGGAACUGAGACACGGUCCAAACCGCUACGGGAGGCAGCAGUGGGGAAUAUUGGACAAUGGAGGGAAAUCUGAUGCAGCCACGCCGCGUGAGCGAUGAAGGAAUUAGUUUCGUAAAGCUCUGUUCUACGGGAAGAAAAGGACGGUACCAGAGGAAAAAGCCCCGGCUAAAUACGUG